Molecule: long non-coding RNA, 1980 nt
Organism: Erpetoichthys calabaricus (reedfish)
Lineage: Eukaryota; Metazoa; Chordata; Cladistia; Polypteriformes; Polypteridae
Exons: 3
Source: RefSeq, a predicted model, not a curated record
UGUAAUUGCAACAAUGUUCUCAGCAAACAGUAAUGUUACUGUUUAAAUAAUGCUAUUACAGUCAUGUUUUAAUUACACAGUAAUAAUGUUACUAUAGCUAAGCUGCAAUUACACAAUAAUAAUAUUGUUCAUUAUUCCCUGUAAUUAUACAAUAAUAAUACACUUAUAGUUACACUGUAAAUAUGCGGUAAUAAUUAAACAGUAAUGUUACUACUGCUGCUCAGCAUUAUGGCAAUCCCAAACUAACAUUUAGAGAUAUCUCAAAAUGAAUUUUAAGAUAUCUGGAAAUGCAUUUAAGAAAUCUUAAAAUGAAUUUACAGCUUCUGAAAACAUGUUUCUUUGAAGAUAUCUUGUGCAUUUUAUGAAAUCUUCAAAACAAGACACUGUUCAUUGUGUGGUGUCUGAAAUGCAAUUCAAGAUAUCUUGAAAUAACUUCAAGAUAUCAUUUUGUGAUAUCUCAAAUACUUUUCAAAAUUUCUUCAGCUUGUUCUACCAUGGGUCUUCCUGUCUGUUUUUAAAUCAUUUUGAAAUGCUUCGCAAUGAACAGGAAGUUAUUUUGAGAUACCUUCACUGUGGAUGUCUGGAAAUGGACAUAAGAUAUUUGGAUCUCUUAAAAUGUAUUACAGAUAUCUUCAGAUCAACUUGUGUUUCAGAUAACUAAUGUGCAUUGUUAGAUAUCUCAAAUUCAUUUCAUGAUAUCUUAAAUUGGGUCUCUUUUCUAUUUCAGAUAUCCUAAAAUGUAAAUUAAGAUAUCUCAAAUAUAUUCUAUUUCUUAAUAGUUAUUGACUUAUUUUAAGAUAUAUGAAUAUCAUUUUCUUCAGUUCUAGAUAUCUCAGAUUCAUUUACAGAUAUCUUAAAAUAUCUUGUUCAUCUUCAGGUAUCUGAAAUUUAUUUCAAGAUAUCUCAAAAUAAGCACUAAAUUAUGCAGUUCAAGAUAUCAUGAAAUAGACAAAAUGUCAAAUUGACAGAAUAAGAAAUUUUGCAGGAAAUGAUUUUAAGAUACAGUAUCUCAAAUAGAAUUUUGAAUAUCUUCAAAAUUCAAGCAAGGUUAAUUGGAUAUAUUUGAAAAUAUAUUUGAAAUGUGGUAUCUUGAAAUAAAUACUGUAGGUAGGUAUUUUGAAAAUGUUUUGCAGAUAUCUUAAAAUGUAGACAAAGUUACAGAUAUCUGGAAAUGAGUUUCAAUGACCUUAAAAGGUGAACCGCAUUUGAAGAUUUCUGCAGUUCAUUCGGAGGUAUCUCUAAAGGUUAGUCUGGCUUGUAGGUACACAAUUAUAGUGCUACGAUGUAAGUACAUGAUGAUAAUAGGACUCCUUUUACACUGUAAGGGCACUGUGAUGACAUUAAUAAAGUUACACUCAAGGUAGAUGCAAACAGUUUUAUUAGAGUUACUUUGGAAAUACACAGUAAUAAUAUUACAGUUACAUUUUACUUAAAUUAGUAAUAAUACUAUAAUUAUACAAUAAGUACAAAAUAGUAGUUGUUAUUGUUACACUGUAAGUACAAAGUAAUAACACUAUUACAGUUACAUUCUAAAUACACGUAAUACCUUCAUAAUUACCAUUAAUAUUAUUAUCAUUAUAAUAAUGUUAUUCUAGUUACACUGUAAGUACACUUUAAUAAUGCCUACUUAGAAUGACAUGUACUUAGGAAACUAAUUACUGAGUAAGGGACGUGUUGCCAAAUUUUGUAACAAUGUCUUUUAACACAUUUUUGCUUAGCCAUACACUCAUCAUGUUGGUUUUUUUUGUGUGUGUUUUUUAAAGUGAAAAUUUAAAAAAAAUAAGAAAAAGAUCCUUGCACAUUCUAUGCAAAUUAUAUUGAAGAGAAUUCAAAGCAUUGCAAUAAUGCUCUGGAAUAUGUUGGUAACUAUUUUAACUUGAUUAUACUUUCUGUAUAAAAAGUUUGUAUUUAUGAAUUGAGUUGCAAUCUUGUAAAUGGUAUUAAUAAAUAAAAUGAUUCUUAAAAAUCAUUCUGUUUUAA